Molecule: non-coding RNA, 82 nt
Organism: Crenichthys baileyi (White River springfish)
Lineage: Eukaryota; Metazoa; Chordata; Actinopteri; Cyprinodontiformes; Goodeidae
Source: the annotation of a GenBank genome assembly
UGCACGGUGGCGCAGUUGGUAGCUCUGUUGCUUUGCAGCAAGAAGGUCCUGGGUUCAAUUCCCGGCGGGGGUCUUUCUGCAU